GGGGGGCAAUUCAGCCAAAAUUUCGGGGUCCAUCUCCAAAUCAGGUAACACGUCGCCAUCAACACCGAUGCUGAGAAAAAGAUCGUCGAAAUCGAUACUUUCAAGUAAGUUCCCGUCAGCGAAAUCCGGGAACUCGUCGGAGCUGAUUGUGAAAGUACUCUCCAUCUCUCCUUCGUCAUCAUCUGUGCUUGUGUUGUUCCUCAAAGGUGACACAGCUAGCAUUAAUUCAAACUUUUUUUUUUCCCUUCUUUUUUGCUUCCUUCAAAGAUUAAAACCAAAACUACAAACAACAAGAAACGGUUGAACCCAGAAAUUAUAUAUAUAAUGAGUUGGUG
Molecule: long non-coding RNA, 335 nt
Filed under: Gossypium barbadense (sea-island cotton)
Lineage: Eukaryota; Viridiplantae; Streptophyta; Magnoliopsida; Malvales; Malvaceae
Description: long non-coding RNA (GBAR_LNC000032)
Source: RNAcentral